Molecule: long non-coding RNA, 649 nt
Organism: Oncorhynchus masou masou (cherry salmon)
Lineage: Eukaryota; Metazoa; Chordata; Actinopteri; Salmoniformes; Salmonidae
Exons: 4
Source: RefSeq, a predicted model, not a curated record
AGUCCGGCGCGGCAGGACGUCAACGACAGCGCAACAAUUAUUAGGUAUGAAGACAAGUUUUCAAGGGACCAGACACAUUUUCGAAUGGACUGACUGUUGGCAGCGGAAAUUCUUGAGCCGUACGAUACUAUGAGUCAUCUUCAGUCAUCAUCUUCUACACUGAACCGUACGCUAUCAGAAAGCGGACAGGAAAAUGGAGAGAAGGAGAGGAUGAAGAGAAGUGGCCCGAAGGAAUGGAAGAAGCCCCAGAGCAGAACCAGAGGGAGGGAGGGAUAACUGCUGUGACAUGAAAGAGUGAUAGAGCAGAUCACAGAAGAACUCAAGACCUUUCAGCUGUGGGGCCAGUAGACAUACGCGCUCCUGGAGCCAGAGGACAAGACCAGGGGCAAGAAGAGACGGGCUGCAUUCAUUUCCAAGCCUUUCGUCUCUCUACACACUUCUUCAACACGGGGCGCAAUUAUGAAACGGGUUUCAGUCAUUGAAGUAGAAUGGAACAACAACAAAAAAGGAAUUUAAUGUCUUCUGUGAAACAUUAAAUAGCCAUCCUCUGAUAACCCUGUAGAGAGAGCUGUCUGAAAAGGGACUUGAGAUAUGAGGGAUAAUGGCUGUGUCUUUGUAGUGUCCUUCUUGCUCUCAGAGAGAGAGAGAG